AUGAUCUUUUCUGAACCUCACUUUCUUCCUUUCUAGGAAUUAGCCAACAGUGUCAUUAUACCAAUGAAAUAUGGCAGUGUGCCUGGUGCUUGGCCCAUGAAGUAAUCCAGCAGUUCAAACUGCCAAGGUUCAAAUCCUGGCUUUUCUGCAUACUAGCUGUGUGACCAUGGGCCAUUUACUCAAAUUCAUUCGCUUUACCUCUCUUAAAAUGAGAUAAUAACAUACACUAUGCAAAGAACAGAGUUGGGCGCAG
RNAcentral lists this long non-coding RNA (253 nucleotides) under Bos indicus x Bos taurus (hybrid cattle). RNAcentral describes it as "lncRNA (ENSBIXG00000022501.1)". Lineage: Eukaryota; Metazoa; Chordata; Mammalia; Artiodactyla; Bovidae. The record is from RNAcentral.